RNAcentral lists this ribosomal RNA (475 nucleotides) under uncultured organism. RNAcentral's name for it is "partial 16S ribosomal RNA". It matches the Rfam family "Bacterial small subunit ribosomal RNA", at positions 333 to 799 of the family's 1533-position model. The record is from RNAcentral.
ACACUCCUACGGGAGGCAGCAGUGGGGAAUUUUGGACAAUGGGCGAAAGCCUGAUCCAGCAAUGCCGCGUGUGUGAAGAAGGCCUUCGGGUUGUAAAGCACUUUUGUCCGGAAAGAAAUCCUUGGCUCUAAUACAGUCGGGGGAUGACGGUACCGGAAGAAUAAGCACCGGCUAACUACGUGCCAGCAGCCGCGGUAAUACGUAGGGUGCGAGCGUUAAUCGGAAUUACUGGGCGUAAAGCGUGCGCAGGCGGUUUGCUAAGACCGAUGUGAAAUCCCCGGGCUCAACCUGGGAACUGCAUUGGUGACUGGCAGGCUAGAGUAUGGCAGAGGGGGGUAGAAUUCCACGUGUAGCAGUGAAAUGCGUAGAGAUGUGGAGGAAUACCGAUGGCGAAGGCAGCCCCCUGGGCCAAUACUGACGCUCAUGCACGAAAGCGUGGGGAGCAAACAGGAUUAGAAACCCUGGUAGUCCCAUG